RNAcentral lists this ribosomal RNA (276 nucleotides) under uncultured bacterium. RNAcentral describes it as "partial 16S ribosomal RNA". It matches the Rfam family "Bacterial small subunit ribosomal RNA", at positions 30 to 243 of the family's 1533-position model. The record is from RNAcentral.
AUUGAACGCUGGCGGCAUGCCUUACACAUGCAAGUCGAACGUGAAAGCGGGGCAACCCGCAAGUAGAGUGGCGGACGGGUGAGUAAUACGUCGGAACGUGUCCAGUAAUGGGGGAGUAACCUAGCGAAAGUUAAGGCUAAUACCGCAUACGAUCUGCGGAUGAAAGACGGGGGAGUGCGGCACUAAAGGACUUUUGGUCGAAGGUGGCCGAAAGGUAGAGUCAAGAGCUUUUAGUUGCUGCACCUCCGCGUUAUUGGAGCGGCUGAUGUCUGAUUA